This is a long non-coding RNA of Uloborus diversus, 368 nucleotides long. RefSeq lists it as uncharacterized. NCBI's taxonomy places the organism in Eukaryota, Metazoa, Arthropoda, Arachnida, Araneae, Uloboridae. The transcript has 3 exons. The record is from RefSeq and is a predicted model, not a curated record.
GGACAGAUCGGCGUUCACGGAGCCAGCCGUAGCCAUGGAUAGGAGAUAUAAACAAGGCUGGAAAUCAGUGUUCCUGCUCCGAAUUCAAGAUUUUUGCUUCAUGUCAUUAAACUAAACCAUGAGCAGGGUGGCAAAAAGGAAGGAGCCUCGUCUCCUUUGGCAGCGGAGCGAAAAAGUGACCGGAUUAUUCCAGCGCCACUGGUGGCGCUAGUGUUCUAUCUCUCAGUUUGCUUGACCGACCCUCAAUAUUCGACUGGGGUGGAUGCCGGCAGUUAGAUGGUUUGGUACCAAAACGAUUUGAUACAAAAAAUUUGUUGGAACUUGAUAAUCCCACGCGGUCAUCACGAUGCUUAACAGAGAACAGAGAA